RNAcentral lists this long non-coding RNA (3919 nucleotides) under Gossypium barbadense (sea-island cotton). Its description in RNAcentral is "long non-coding RNA (GBAR_LNC008101)". Lineage: Eukaryota; Viridiplantae; Streptophyta; Magnoliopsida; Malvales; Malvaceae. The record is from RNAcentral.
GGGACUAGAGGGCAUUUCUAUUUUGUUUCAUCUCUAAUCGCUCUUCCUUGCUUCCUUUGCCUCUAGCCACUAGCACUCCUCCCCUUCAUCGAAGCCUCCUUCAGGUAAACCUUUUUAUCUAUUCUGUUGUUCCUUUAGCUUUCCUCUCUGCCUCUUUUUGUUACCUUAAGAAAAAAAUUGUUUUUUUUUUUUAAUUUCAAAGUCUUGGUUUAUAUUUUUGGGUUAUUGAAAUUGGAAAAAGCAAAGAUUGGGUUGGGAAUUGGGAGAGAGGCAUUUGAUGUUGACUAUUGGAAACUCAGACAUUUGUUUGGAUUGUGAGAAAAUGAAAAUUUUUGUUUUAUUUUCUCUUUUUAAUGUUGUCUGGGUAUUAUUUAUAGGUUCACGAACCAACCAAUAUUAAUAGAAAGAGUUGUGACUCUUCCUAUGAAAUAAAAUUAAAGUGUAUACAGUUUGAUUUACCCUUAGCUUACAAACUUAUAGCUUGUAAUUGAUCUACUGAAAUGGUCGAGUUCCUUGUAGUAGAUCUACCUUUAGCUUACAAUGUAAUUUUUGCUAUAGCUUACUAUUAUCAUCUGCAAGUUAUUUUUCAUACAAAACAGUUUAUAUUUCAAACAUAGAAAAGCCCCCUGCAGGACAUAUAGUCUGUAUCUUAAUGCUAGAAAUUAUAUUAUGUUGAAAAAAAACAUUCAAAUAUAUUACAACAUAGAAAACUAUAGAAAGAAAACAACUUUUUUGCAAUAUAAUUUGUCAUGUAAAUGAAUGGAUUUACAAUACAGAUGACUUAAAAAAUACCUUUUAAAGCCAAGUCUAAGGAAUUUAUUUGGAUGGUUAAAACAAGUAAAAAUUCAUUUGGCUUGGUCUGGGAUUUGAUUAAGGUUUGGCUAAGUUGAGUUUAACACUUUGAUAAUUUGGGUUUUGAGACUUGUCAGAAUGACUGCAGCCCAAAAUGCAGAAAAGAUACAAUCAAAAUAACAAAUUAGUUAUUUUUCUUUGCUUCUUAUAUUUGAUCAUUUGAGGCUUUAUUUAUUUAAAUUAAUGGUGACUAUUAUUGGCAAAAGUAUCUAAUACUUUUCUUCUACAACAAUGAAUUGUGUGAUGUCUCUUUAGUACUAUCAAAUUGAACGUCAUUUUCAUGUUUGAAAAGAAAAAAAGAAAAGAAAAGAAGACAUACACUUAUAAUGCUCAACUAAAAAAUUGAGGAUGUACUGAAAAAUAUUAGUAAAUUUUAAUAUAUUUAAUUUAUACAUUACAUCUUUAUCUGAACCAACUAAUUUACACAAAUUUAUCUAGAACCUCUUUUAAAUUAAUUCUUUUUAACUUACCAAUUUUUUAUGUGGUAUAUUGUGGUUGGAGCCCAAUAAACUUGAAAUGGUUAUGUUUGUAUAACAGCUAUUCUUCUGGUUCCAUAAUUUUUUUUAUCUAUAGGAUCUCUUAAAAUUAUAUACUUGCCCAACAAAUUAGUUACAUUGAUGUUUUUAGCUACUAGGUCUUGGUAGAUGGAAAAAUAAUCCUUGAAUUUACUUUGAAUAUACAAUUUGUUUUGAAGACAUCCAAAGCAAUUUGAAUUGAAAAAAGUACAAUUGUGUUUGGGUCUUUAUCAAAACUUCUCUACAUCAUAGGUUAAAGCAAUCUACAGUUUCCAGGAUGUCGUUUACCACAAUGCCUACACUCAGGUCGAUUCGGCCAGACAUUACCAACAGUAGCAAUUAAAAUGGCUCGUGAACUCUGUAACGCCCUGAAUUUGGGCCUAGAAGUAUUAGGUCCUUGAGCAUGGGAGCAGUUUAGAGGUGGCACAUAAAUAGUUAGUUGUGUAAGAAAGUGACACAACUGUGUAUCUGCUUCAGUGGUUAAGUGUUCUGAGUGUUCUGGGAGUGUCUGAGAAGUCUUGGAUUCAAGCCUUGGUUUAUGCAAAAACCUUGCUUUUUAAGGAUAAAACCCCUAUCUUUGGUUAGUAGGGUUAUAAGUAAAAAUUGUUAAAACAUGACAGAAUGGGCCUAUUGGUCUAGUGGAUAGUGGCAUGUGGAGUGUGCUUGUGGUCUGAGGUUCGAAUCCAUAUUUGCGCAAACGGAGAUUAUUUUUAUUGAUGGCCAUAAGAGGAGGUUGUGUUUGAUCGAAACACUACUGAGGGGAGUGGAGCUUGAAUUGGUCAUGGAGGGAUUGUAAGAGGGAGUUGAGGAGAGAUUUGAGGAGGAAAUCAAGGGGAUUUGAAGUGGAGGAGGUGUUGGUGCCGAAUUAGGAUUGUAGGCACCCAGUGAUUUCGGUUUGAGGGAGAAUUAGACUUUGGAGAAAGCUUUGGUUGUGGUAGCAAUACACUCUAGCUGUUUAUUUUCUCCUCACUUUUCUUUGUUUUGUCGAGCGCUUUCUGAUUCUUCCUACACUUUUUGUUAACUAAAUACUACUAGGGGAUCAUUGGGGUACUUUCAUUUUGGACUAUUUAGGCUUUUUUUGGCUUCCUCUACUUUUUUACAAACGAUUUCCCCCUUGAUACCUUUUUUUUGGCUUUCUCCCUCUCUAAUCCAUUCAUUCUUUUGAUCAAUUCUCUUUCUCCACUUUCUCCUUUCCAAUCAGUUUCUCAUUGACUAAUUGCAUCUUUUUCACUACUAUUCUCGUUCUUUCUCUGCUUACUCUCAACUCAUUCCCCUGAUCUUUUUGAGGUUUCGCCGAAUAUUACUGCUAUUCUUGUUCUCUCUGUGCCAAAUUUUUCCUUCAUUGCUAUCUACUAUUUCUGUAGUUAUUGUUAUUUUUUGGUCUUGCUUUUUGGUAAGUUUGACUCUCGGUUUGGAUGAACGAUACUUUUCCUAUUUCUCCCUCUCUCUGUUGUAAUUGUACUUCAUCUAACAACUUCUUUCUCUGUCGAUUACUGUUAAGGCUGUGAUUGUUUCACUUUGUCACCAUCAUAUAGUGUACUUUCGGCGCUAGUGUGGGUGUAGGCCGAUUGUUCCUUUCUCCUAUUUUGGACUCUGCAUUGCCGGUAAGUGAUUUACAUUUUGCUCAAAUCAUGUGUGUGAUCAAUAUGAUUAACGUUAAUAAGUUCAUUCAGAAUGCAGGUAUUUCUCUAAAUGAGUUCGUAAUCAGUUGCGUGUAUCGGUUUAAGGGUAGAAUCUUCAUUAUUUCGACCAUGGUAAGUAUUAGUGAAACUUUUUGCCAAAUAUAAGAAGGAGAUGUUAAUCAUAUUGUCAUUGAUUAAUAGAGUAUUUUGAUUGAAUGUAGGCUUUUGGCUCGCAGGCUACUUGCGCAUCUUCGUUUAAGGUGUGUAAUCACUGUUUUAACCGUAAAUCGGUAAAAGCCGAAAAAUAGGACCGUUAAUGCCACAUGGGCGUGCGAUCGCUCUUGUGGUAACCCCAAACGCAUAAACAUCGGUACUACAUUACGAGAGGCCACCAUGGGAGAUCUCAUGGGCUUAGGCAGUUUUGGGCCAUGUUAGGCUGAAAUGAUGACCAAAUACCCCCAUAAGGUAAAAUGACCGAAAUACCCAAAUAGGGUUAAAUGACCGAAAUACCCUCAUUGGAUAAAAUGACUGAAAUACCCCUAUAGGGUAAAAUGACGGUAAUACCCCUGUUGUGAGGUAAAAUGACUGAUUUGUCCUACGAUGUGUAUGACUGUAUUUGAGCAUGCCCCGUUAUAUGUAUGUUGCAUCCAUGUAAGAUAUUUGAUCGGCUAAAAUCAUCCCUGAAUUUCUUCAAUGCUGACUGAAAUGUCUUACCCGGUGAUCUCUUACGAGAAUAUCUAGCUUCAAAAUCAGCUUUUCUUUUCUUUUUUUUCGUAUAACUUAGGAAGUUAUAGGAACUUGAGGGGGCGGAGGUUGUUGAGCAGCCGGAUUCGUCCGGACGAACUCGAUGAACCACUCAUUCAUUAGCUGGAAGAAGGCUUGCUUAGCCUCUCCCUUUAUAUUACUUGAAAUCAGCCAAGAAUCAGCCGG